Molecule: ribosomal RNA, 465 nt
Filed under: Vreelandella stevensii
Lineage: Bacteria; Pseudomonadati; Pseudomonadota; Gammaproteobacteria; Oceanospirillales; Halomonadaceae
Description: partial 16S ribosomal RNA
Rfam family: Bacterial small subunit ribosomal RNA
Source: RNAcentral
CCUACGGGUGGCUGCAGUGGGGAAUAUUGGACAAUGGGCGAAAGCCUGAUCCAGCCAUGCCGCGUGUGUGAAGAAGGCCUUCGGGUUGUAAAGCACUUUCAGUGGGGAAGAAAGCCUUGGGGCUAAUACCCUCGAGGAAGGACAUCACCCACAGAAGAAGCACCGGCUAACUCCGUGCCAGCAGCCGCGGUAAUACGGAGGGUGCGAGCGUUAAUCGGAAUUACUGGGCGUAAAGCGCGCGUAGGCGGUCUGAUAAGCCGGUUGUGAAAGCCCCGGGCUCAACCUGGGAACGGCAUCCGGAACGGUCAGGCUAGAGGGCGGGAGAGGAAGGUAGAAUUCCCGGUGUAGCGGUGAAAUGCGUAGAGAUCGGGAGGAAUACCAGUGGCGAAGGCGGCCUUCUGGACUGACACUGACGCUGAGGUGCGAAAGCGUGGGUAGCAAACAGGAUUAGAUACCCCUGUAGUC